UGGUUAAAAAGCUCGUAGUUGGAUCUCGGCGGACUGAGGGCGGUUUGCUUGCUAGUAUUACUGCCCUAUAGUCCGUAGUUUUGCCAGAGGUUUCGGGGUGCUCUUAAUCGAGUGUCCCGGGAUGCUGGCAGGUUUACUUUGAAAAAAUUAGAGUGCUCAAAGCAGGCUAUUACGCCUGAAUAUUCGUGCAUGGAAUAAUAGAAUAGGAAGUCGUUUCUAUUUUGUUGGUUUUCGGAAAUCGACUUAAUGAUUAAUAGGGACAGUCGGGGGCAUUUGUAUUCAAACGACAGAGGUGAAAUUCUUGGACCGUUUGAAGACAAACUACUGCGAAAGCAUUUGCCAAGAAUGUUUUCAUUAAUCAAGAACGAAAGUUAAAGGUUCGAAGGCGAUUAGAUACCGCCCUAGUUUUAACCAUAAACGAUGCCAGCUAGCGAUCUGCGGACGUUUUUUUUGUAGACUCCGCAGGAAGCUUCCGGGAAACCAAAGCAUUUGGGUUCCAGGGGAAGUAUGGUUGCAAAGCUGAAACUUAAAGGAAUUGACGGAAGGGCACCACCAGGAGUGGAGCCUGUGGCUUAAUUUGACUCAACACGGGAAAUCUCACCAGGCCCGGGACACUG
Molecule: ribosomal RNA, 617 nt
Filed under: uncultured marine eukaryote
Lineage: Eukaryota
Description: SSU rRNA
Rfam family: Eukaryotic small subunit ribosomal RNA
Source: RNAcentral